Molecule: long non-coding RNA, 445 nt
Filed under: Mytilus galloprovincialis (Mediterranean mussel)
Lineage: Eukaryota; Metazoa; Mollusca; Bivalvia; Mytilida; Mytilidae
Source: RNAcentral
CAAAAUUGUCAAAAAAUGCGAUUGAGUGAUCCAUGUUAAAUCAAUCAUCGAUUUUGCUUAUAUAAUGUUACGAUGACACAAUACACGUGCUCAAGUUGAGUAGGGUCAAAGUCUUUAUAAUAUGUCAGUCAAAGAGGACGACUAUAUAUUCUGUUUCAUGAUGUUCAUAUUUUUACUGUAGGUUCAGCUUUUUACAAACUUGUUAAACCAAUGCCCCAUGAGAAAGAUUUCUCUUAUUGAUGUUUUUUUUCGUCUUAUUAUUAUAAGAUUAUAACGAAUGAAUUAUUGAUGUCUCUAUAUUUUAUAUUGGUUCCUGUAAUUCUCGAUUGAAAAAAGAUAUAUACCAAUAAGUACGAUCUAUAUUAUAAAUAACUGGAAUGGAGAAAUUGCCUUGAUAACCAUUAACCAUGGACUGCCAAUAAAUACUUUCCCUGGUAUGUAUCGA